GACAGAGGGUGCAAACGUUGUUCGGAAUUACUGGGCGUAAAGCGUGUGUAGGCGGCUUUGCAAGUCGGAUGUGUAAGCCCCGGGCUCAACCCGGGAAGUGCACUCGAUACUGCAGAGCUUGAGUAUCGGAGAGGUUGGUGGAAUUCUCGGUGUAGAGGUGAAAUUCGUAGAUAUCUGGAGGAACACCGGUGGCGAAGGCGGCAUCCUGGACCGGUAUUGACGCUGAGGCGCGAAAGCUAGGGGAGCAAACGGG
This 253-nucleotide ribosomal RNA is filed under the name uncultured bacterium. RNAcentral's name for it is "partial 16S ribosomal RNA". It matches the Rfam family "Bacterial small subunit ribosomal RNA", at positions 524 to 776 of the family's 1533-position model. The record is from RNAcentral.